RNAcentral lists this ribosomal RNA (584 nucleotides) under uncultured Gammaproteobacteria bacterium. Its description in RNAcentral is "bacterial SSU rRNA". It matches the Rfam family "Bacterial small subunit ribosomal RNA", at positions 346 to 920 of the family's 1533-position model. The record is from RNAcentral. Lineage: Bacteria; Pseudomonadati; Pseudomonadota; Gammaproteobacteria.
AGGCAGCAGUGGGGAAUAUUGGACAAUGGGGGCAACCCUGAUCCAGCCAUGCCGCGUGUGUGAAGAAGGCCUUCGGGUUGUAAAGCACUUUAAGCGAGGAGGAAGGUCUUUGAAUUAAUACUUCAAAGAAUUGACGUUACUCGCAGAAUAAGCACCGGCUAACUCUGUGCCAGCAGCCGCGGUAAUACAGAGGGUGCAAGCCGUUAAUCGGAAUUACUGGGCGUAAAGCGCGCGUAGGCGGUAUGUUAAGUCGGAUGUGAAAUCCCCUGGGCUCAACCUAGGCAUUGCAUCCGAUACUGGCACACUAGAGUGUGGGAGAGGAAGGUAGAAUUCCAGGUGUAGCGGUGAAAUGCGUAGAGAUCUGGAGGAAUACCGAUGGCGAAGGCAGCCUUCUGGCCUAACACUGACGCUGAGGUGCGAAAGCAUGGGGAGCAAACAGGAUUAGAUACCCUGGUAGUCCAUGCCGUAAACGAUGUCAACUAGCCGUUGGGCUCCUUGAGGGCUUAGUGGCGCAGCUAACGCGAUAAGUUGACCGCCUGGGGAGUACGGUCGCAAGACUAAAACUCAAAUGAAUUGACGGGGGC